This is a long non-coding RNA of Hemibagrus wyckioides, 3920 nucleotides long. RefSeq lists it as uncharacterized. The transcript is spliced from 4 exons. Lineage: Eukaryota; Metazoa; Chordata; Actinopteri; Siluriformes; Bagridae. The record is from RefSeq and is a predicted model, not a curated record.
ACUGACCUCAAGAAGGAAAUAAUUUUAGGGAAGUACAAGCUGUUACCCAAGAUGGAUUGCAAAAAGAUGUGGUCAGCGGAAAAAGCACAAAACCAGUAAAAAAGAGAGAGAACAUACACAAGACAAAUCACUAGGAAUGAGAAUAAACAUUUGAAAUGCAUGUAAUAAAUCAUCACUCUUUAACAAGUAAGGCCUCACAGUGUAGCGUUGUAGAGUAGGCUAUAGCAUGAUAAAACACAAUAUAGAGUAAACUCACAAACAUCAUUUUCACUAGAGAAUAUUAAAGAAAAUGACCAGAAAAUAGAUAUUAAAAAAGAAACCUAUUACAGGCCUACUCAUCCAGUUUUAUAAGCUUCAGAAUGAGAGAAAGCUUGAGAGUGCAAUGAAGUAUUAAAGGAUGUGGGAGUAAUUUUAAAACCUAGAAUGUCUAGGUUAAAUGCAUUUUUGUUUAUGUUUGUAUGAAAAGAUAAAAAAUGAGAAGACAACAUUAGUAGUAUGAGACACAACCUUGGUUUAUUGACCACCCUUGUUUAAUGGUUAAACGCAGUGGCGUGCCGUGCUUUUCACACCUAGGCCUUCACUGGUGUCUUUCCUGAAUUAAUCCACCUCUAUACCAUCAUUUUCUACUCAGCCCUCCUAAAAUUCUGCGAUUCUCCAUAAACUGUACACAAAUUGGUGAUCGCUUCAGUCCCCUUUAAAUUUCAUAUGAAAACGGCAGCAGACUUCGGCUCCUCCCCGUCUUUCAACAGAUUCUUCAGUCCGCAGCGGCGCAGAGCGAGGAUCAGAUUAAGACUCAGGCUUUUACAACCGGUAUUUUGUCGUCUCGAAGAAAGACGGGGGGGCUGCAUCCAAUUUUGGACCUGCGGGCUUUGAACUGUGCACUGAAGACAUUCAAGUUCAAGAUGCUCACACUCAGACUUAUCGCAUUGCAAAUCAGGUCCGAGGACUGGUUUGUGACGACAGACCUCAAAGAUGCCUAUUUUCAUCUAGGUGUUCCUGCUUUUGGGGGUGAAGUAUACCAGUAUUGUGUUCUUCCUUUUGGUCUAACCCUGUCACUAUGCCCAUUUACAAAGUGCAUGGAUGCUGCCCUGGAGACCACGGGGUGCGUGUACUAAAUUACUGAAUUAGCUGGAUGACUGGCUCAUUCUGGCCCAGUCGAAGGCCAUGGUGGCCUGUUAUCGAGCUGUGCUUGCCCAAAUGAGGUCUCUAGGACUCAAGGUGAACCCAGAGACGUGUGUACUUUCUCCUUCUGAGAGAACCACCUUCUUGGGUGUAGUUUGGGAUUCCACCACGAUGCAGACAUGUCUGUCUCCUGCUCAGGUGGCUUCCUUACUGUCAGCGGUGAAAGCUAUUCGGCUAGAUCAAAGCCUCUCUGUCGCCAAGGUGCAGAGAGUGUUUGGCCUCAUGGCAGCAGCAGCUGACGUUAUCCCAUUGGGUCUGCUUCACAUCCCCUCAGGCAUCCCCUCAGUGCCAUAAAGGUUACGUGCCACGGGCUUUGUACCCUUCUUAUGUGGAAAAGACCCCGCUUUUUGCCCUUGGGUCUCACACUAGGGGCACGUCAUUGUCUCAAGACUCUUUCGACGGACACCUUGCUUUUGGGCUGGGAGCAGUCUUGGACAGCGACUCUGCCCAGGGUCUCUGGGAGGGCCAUCAUCUCUCCCACUAUCCGCUAUAGUAUUCCCUUUCUCAGCCAGCCCCUCUGGGCCUGGAUGCUCUGAUGCCAAGGUUGCGACUGUACACCUUUUCCCCGGUAGCUCUGCUCCCAGAAGUCCUAGCAAGUGUGUGCCAUGAUCAAGUCCACCUUCUUCUAGUGGGUCCUCGCUGGCCUGCUGGAGUUUGGUUCCUGGACCUUGUCUCCCUCCUAGACGGCACUCCUUAGAAGAUUCCUGUCAGGAAAGAUCUACUCUCUCAGGCCCCACAUAUACACAUUGCAUAAUAUUACUGUAUUUUCAAUCAUAUAUGUCAUAUAUGUCUUACAAACCAUAUAAAGCCUUAUAGAUUUCCAGGAUGUAAAAACAUAGGGAAAUAAUGCUAAUUUAAUAUGAAUGUCCAUCAUAUGUCUUAAGACAUCUAUUAAACAUUUAGUUAGACACAGCAGUUUACCAAUCAGUAUAAGGCUGUACUUGCUUUCAUAUUGUCCUAAACAGAGCCCUGUACAUGUCAGAGUCAUGUACUGUAUAAUCAUAGACUUGCACCCUUAGAUAAAACACAACAUUUAAAGUACACACACAAAAACACAUGUUGGAACAGCACAGCCACAGAGGACUAUUUUAUUUUGUCAAAACUUAUUAGCCCACAGAAGCUGCAUCAUGAAAUAUUUUACUGACACAAGUUUGCUAAUGUGCCUUUAAGAACAAUUCUUUGUAAGUGUGUGUGAGAAAUGGUAGAGGAAAUUAAAGAAAACAGAUGAAAAUAGUAAUCAGUUAAUAAUUAUAUCUAUUUUUUCCAUACAAUCUGUCGACCCCAAGCAAUUAUCUUGCACUCGAGGGGUUCUGAACUUCUGACCUGGUGCUGACCCAGAGUGAGAAAAAAAAUUAGCAUACCUUUUUUUCCACCUGGUCUGAGUACGACAAGGAAACCUUCUUUCUUCUAAUUUGCAAUUGUGAAAACAAUACGCUUUUUUUUCCGGCAUGUUUUCUGCAUUAAUUUAAAGUAGACUAUUUUCUGAGCACAGAUGUGAACAUAAGUAAGUAAUGUGCGUCCAUGAAAAAAGACUAUAAAAUAUGCCGAUUGGUUGAUGCUUGAACUGCCUUCACGGGAUCCUAUGAAAAGCCUGAUCGCUGGCUCAUUUCGAAAAGCACCCGAGGUAAAAUAGAGCGUUGCUUUCAACAACUCGGCGUUUAUGGAUUGCUUGAUUUCUUUAUUAACAUCACCAGGUGAAAGGUAGGAAGAAAUUUUCACUUGUUGUAAUGUUUACUCAGGCAGCGAUAUUGAUUUGUGCAUUUAGCAAAUUCUAAGUAGUUGUUUUGUUCAAAUUUGUUAAUGCUAGCCUAUCAGACUACAGUUUCAACAUUUUGCUUAGCAGCUAUUAAAUGGAGCUGUAGCCGGGAAUUCACUGCAACAUCUUUGACCAACCUUCCUUCGUGUAUUUAGGCAACGUUAGCUAGAUUGUUUGUUAGCUAGAUUGUGUAUAGGUGUGAUAAGGAAGUUUGCAGUGGUCCAGUGGGUCAGUGGGGAGGAUGCUGGGAUGUACAGAGAAGUGAAAACUGAUGCCAUACGUAAAUAUGAUGACACCAAGAUGGAUGACCCACAAACUAACUAUACAGCUGCUGUGGAAUGGCAGAAAGGGAAAAAGCUGGCCAGUGUACACUGCCUCUGUUUUCUAAGUUUGUAAGCAGAGCAAUGCUGCAAAAGUGGCCUCAUGUGGCACCCUCCAGCAUUGGUGCAACCAUCAAUGCCAAACUUACUGAGAUUAGUGUGAAGAAGAAAACACAAGAACAUCCAGAAACCUUAAUGCUCUUUGAUGAUUGAUUUCAUUGACAAUGAUGACAUUGUGUUCAAGGUUGAAGCAUUUGCAUGAUGGCUGCACCAGUGAAACUGCAGAUUGUCUUUGGUGCCAACAAUGCUGAAAAGCUGACCAUAGAAUCGGGCAUGCCAAAGUCUGUGAACGUAAUAAAUAAACAUAAAUUAUGUGUUUUGCUGUCUACAUUUUAUUAAAACAAGAGCUGCUCUCAGUCAAGAGUAAAAAUCAUUUACAAGGUCUUCUGCCUAAAACAACCGGAAUUAUAAAAUACAUCUUUACUGCAAGCAGAAUGAGAAUGAGAAGUUAACAUGGAGGACUUUAAAAUAGUUUAAUUCUUACUUUUUUGUCUGUAGUCUAGCCUGAUCAAAUUAAGUGUAACUUGUUUUGUGUUGUGUUUUAAGAAAUCUCUGUGCUGCAGCCGUCAUCAGUUUCUUCAAAUUACAAGUAACGUAACCAC